AAAUUGAAGAGUUUGAUCAUGGCUCAGAUUGAACGCUGGCGGCAGGCCUAACACAUGCAAGUCGAACGGUAACAGGAAGCAGCUUGCUGCUUCGCUGACGAGUGGCGGACGGGUGAGUAAUGUCUGGGAAACUGCCCGAUGGAGGGGGAUAACUACUGGAAACGGUAGCUAAUACCGCAUAACGUCGCAAGACCAAAGAGGGGGACCUU
RNAcentral lists this ribosomal RNA (209 nucleotides) under Escherichia coli. RNAcentral's name for it is "partial 16S ribosomal RNA". It matches the Rfam family "Bacterial small subunit ribosomal RNA", at positions 1 to 216 of the family's 1533-position model. The record is from RNAcentral. Lineage: Bacteria; Pseudomonadati; Pseudomonadota; Gammaproteobacteria; Enterobacterales; Enterobacteriaceae.